UGGUCAAAGUUGUCCCCUACUUUGACCAGGAGAUCAAUCUUCUGAUAUCUCUCUGGUUUGUCUGUUUCCACCGAGUGGCCCGGUGGUUCUCUCCGAGUACUUCGGCUUCCUCCACCAUAAUAACAGACUUCCCGGUGUCCUACACGCUCCCUUGGGCGGUGUUGGGUGGGGAUUGUUCUGGUGGUGGGAUAAUAUUGUAAAGGACACAUCUCCAUUAAUCCUUAGGGAGUGUACAUGGAUCCGCUGUACCCUUGCAGUCAAUCAAGGGGUGCGUCUACAUUGGCGGAAUCUCGAGUACAUACAUACAUACUGAUG
RNAcentral lists this long non-coding RNA (315 nucleotides) under Mytilus galloprovincialis (Mediterranean mussel). The record is from RNAcentral. Lineage: Eukaryota; Metazoa; Mollusca; Bivalvia; Mytilida; Mytilidae.